RNAcentral lists this transfer RNA (71 nucleotides) under bacterium. RNAcentral's name for it is "tRNA-Gly". It matches the Rfam family "tRNA". From Rfam's summary of the family: Transfer RNA (tRNA) molecules are approximately 80 nucleotides in length. Their secondary structure includes four short double-helical elements and three loops (D, anti-codon, and T loops). The record is from RNAcentral.
GCGGGUGUAGUAUAACGGCAUUAUGUCAGGUUUCCAACCUGAAGACGCGGGUCCGACUCCCGCUACCCGCU